GAGUUUGAUCUUGGCUCAGAACGAACGCUGGCGGCAGGCCUAAACAUGCAAGUCGAGCGCCCAGCAAUGGGAGCGGCGGACGGGUGAGUAACACGUGGGAAUGUACCUUUCGGUACGGAACAACUCAGGGAAACUUGAGCUAAUGCCGUAUGCGCCCUUACGGGGAAAGAUUUAUCGCCGAAAGAUCAGCCCGCGUUGGAUUAGCUUGUUGGUGAGGUAAUGGCUCACCAAGGCGACGAUCCAUAGCUGGUUUGAGAGAACGACCAGCCACACUGGGACUGAGACACGGCCCAGACUCCUACGGGAGGCAGCAGUUGGGAAUCUUGGACAAUGGGGGAAACCCUGAUCCAGCCAUGCCGCGUGAGUGAUGAAGGCCUUC
This 379-nucleotide ribosomal RNA is filed under the name uncultured Alphaproteobacteria bacterium. RNAcentral's name for it is "bacterial SSU rRNA". It matches the Rfam family "Bacterial small subunit ribosomal RNA", at positions 9 to 419 of the family's 1533-position model. Lineage: Bacteria; Pseudomonadati; Pseudomonadota; Alphaproteobacteria. The record is from RNAcentral.